This 193-nucleotide unclassified non-coding RNA is filed under the name uncultured Inocybe. RNAcentral's name for it is "sequence contains ITS2". The record is from RNAcentral. Lineage: Eukaryota; Fungi; Basidiomycota; Agaricomycetes; Agaricales; Cortinariaceae.
GAGUUCUCAACCACACCCUUUGUGGUGUGGCUUUUGGAUAUGGGGGUUCUCUUUGCAGGCUUUGUGAAAACAAGGUCGGCUCCCCUGAAAUGUAUUAGUGGUAUCUGUGUGGACUACAGGUGUGAUAAAUCAAUCUAUGCCUUGUCUCUCACUAUGGCACUGCUUCUAAAGAGUUGGAAACAACGAUUGACAA